CCUCCCAUCAGAUCAGCAGCGGUAUUAGAUUCUCAAAGAAGCGUAAGCCCUAUUGUGAACUGCACAUGCGAGGGAUACAGGUUGCGAGCUCCUUAUGAGAAUCUAAUGCCUAGAUGAUCUGUCACUGUCUCCCAUCACCCCCAGAUGGGGCCGUCCAGUUGUAGGAAAACAAGCUCAGGACUCCCACUGAUUCUACAUUAUGGUGAGUUGUGUAAUUAUUUCAUUACAUAUUACAGUGUAACAAUAAUAAAAAUUAAGUGCACAAUAAACAUAAUGUGCUUGAAUCAUCCCCAAACCAUCCUCCUCCCCGCCUCGGUCCGUGGAAAAAUUGUCUUCCACAAAACUGGUCCCUGGUACCAAAAAGGUUGGGGACUGCUGUCCUAGAUAACUUCUUUCCCUU
This 400-nucleotide long non-coding RNA is filed under the name Homo sapiens (human). RNAcentral describes it as "HSALNT0201618". Lineage: Eukaryota; Metazoa; Chordata; Mammalia; Primates; Hominidae. The record is from RNAcentral.